CAUCAUGACAAGUGAUAAUACAUCCACAUAUGCAUCUUGAUAAUCUCUGAGUAGAGACUGAGGACCCUGUGGAUCCAUCCAUGAAGGAAAUGAAGAGCUUAGAUGGAUUUCCUAAAUUGCUUGGUCCUAUCGAAGUAGAAAGCCAAUGCCUAUCUAACAUCCAAGCUCCAACAGAUAAUCAAAGAUGACUGAAAGUGGCACCAAAUCAGGCAAAAGGCAACAACAAUACCAGUGGAAGACUCUCUUCCAUUUCUGCAGCUACAGACCCACCUCUGGACCACAGCAAGGACCAUCUGGGUAGAAGACAGCACUGCUUCUGUAGGAACGGCCCUUGAGUAGCCAGUUGUCAAGGUAUGGGAAGAGUAGGAUCGCUUUUUGUCAGAGGUAAGCAACCACUACUGCCAGGACUUUUGAGAACAACCUUGGG
Long non-coding RNA from Mauremys reevesii (Reeves's turtle), 427 nucleotides. RefSeq lists it as uncharacterized. The record is from RefSeq and is a predicted model, not a curated record. The transcript is spliced from 3 exons. NCBI's taxonomy places the organism in Eukaryota, Metazoa, Chordata, Testudines, Geoemydidae.